GGUUGAUCCCGCCGGACCUGACUGCUAUCGGAUUGAUACUAAGCCAUGCAAGUCAUUGUAGCAAUACAAGGCGGACGGCUCAGUAACACGUAGUCAACCUAACCUAUGGACGUGGAUAACCUCGGGAAACUGAGAAUAAACCACGAUAGAUCAUGAUGCCUGGAAUGGCUUAUGGUUCAAACAAUUUAUUGCCGUAGGAUGGGACUGCGGCCUAUCAGCUUGUUGGUGAGGUAAUGGCCCACCAAGGCUAUAACAGGUACGGGCUCUGAGAGGAGAAGCCCGGAGAUGGGUACUGAGACACGGACCCAGGCCCUAUGGGGCGCAGCAGGCGAGAAACCUUAGCAAUGUGCGAAAGCACGACUAGGUUAAUCCGAGUGGUUCCUGCUAAAGGAACCUUUUGUCAGUCGUAAAACCACAGACGAAUAAGGGGUGGGCAAGUCUGGUGUCAGCCGCCGCGGUAAUACCAGCACCUCGAGUGGUCAGGAGGUUCAUUGGGCCUAAAGCAUCCGUAGCCGGCUAUGCAAGUCUCCGGUUAAAUCCAACUGCUCAACAGAUGGGCUGCCGGAGAUACUACACAGCUAGGGAGCGGGAGAGGUAGACGGUAUUCUGUGGGUAGGGGUAAAAUCCACUGAUCCAUAGAGGACCACCAGUGGCGAAGGCGGUCUACCAGAACGCGUUCGACGGUGAGGGAUGAAAGCUGGGGGAGCAAACCGGAUUAGAUACCCGGGUAGUCCCAGCUGUAAACGAUGCAAACUCGGUGAUGCAUUGACUUAUGGUCAAUGCAGUGCCGCAGGGAAGCCGUUAAGUUUGCCGCCUGGGAAGUACGGACGCAAGUCUGAAACUUAAAGGAAUUGGCGGGGGAGCACCACAAGGGUGAAGCCUGCGGUUCAAUUGGAGUCAACGCCGG
This 907-nucleotide ribosomal RNA is filed under the name uncultured archaeon. RNAcentral describes it as "bacterial SSU rRNA". It matches the Rfam family "Archaeal small subunit ribosomal RNA", at positions 6 to 921 of the family's 1478-position model. The record is from RNAcentral.